RNAcentral lists this ribosomal RNA (735 nucleotides) under uncultured cyanobacterium. RNAcentral's name for it is "bacterial SSU rRNA". It matches the Rfam family "Bacterial small subunit ribosomal RNA", at positions 573 to 1308 of the family's 1533-position model. The record is from RNAcentral. Lineage: Bacteria; Bacillati; Cyanobacteriota.
AGGGGGCGCAUCAAGUCUGCUGUUAAAGGCUGGAGCUUAACUCCGGUAGAGCAGUGGAAACUGGUGCGCUAGAGGGCGACAGGGGUAGAGGGAAUUCCCAGUGUAGCGGUGAAAUGCGUAGAGAUUGGGAAGAACACCGGUGGCGAAAGCGCUCUACUGGGUCGCACCUGACCCUCAGGGACGAAAGCUAAGGUAGCGAAAGGGAUUAGAUACCCCUGUAGUCUUAGCCGUAAACGAUGGAUACUAGGCGUGGCUUGUAUCGACCCAAGCCGUGCCGAAGCUAACGCGUUAAGUAUCCCGCCUGGGGAGUACGCACGCAAGUGUGAAACUCAAAGGAAUUGACGGGGGCCCGCACAAGCGGUGGAGGAUGUGGUUUAAUUCGAUGCAACGCGAAGAACCUUACCAGGGCUUGACAUCCCGCGAAUCUCGGUGAAAGCCGAGAGUGCCUUCGGGAGCGCGGAGACAGGUGGUGCAUGGCUGUCGUCAGCUCGUGUCGUGAGAUGUUGGGUUAAGUCCCGCAACGAGCGCAACCCUCGUCCUUAGUUGCCAGCAUUGAGUUGGGCACUCUAGGGAGACUGCCGGUGACAAACCGGAGGAAGGUGAGGAUGACGUCAAGUCAGCAUGCCCCUUAUGCUCUGGGCAACACACGUGCUACAAUGGUCGGUACAAAGGGCAGCAAACUCGCAAGAGCCAGCCAAUCCCAUAAAGCCGAUCCUAGUCCGGAUCGCAGUCUGC